AACACGACUCUCGGCAACGGAUAUCUCGGCUCUCGCCACGAUGAAGAAUGUAGCGAAAUGUGAUACUUAGUGUGAAUUGCAGAAUCCCGUGAAUCAUCGAGUCUUUGAACGCAAGUUGCGCCCGAGGCCUCGGCCGAGGGCACGUCUGCUUGGGCGUCGCAC
RNAcentral lists this ribosomal RNA (162 nucleotides) under Taxus wallichiana var. wallichiana. RNAcentral describes it as "5.8S ribosomal RNA". It matches the Rfam family "5.8S ribosomal RNA". From Rfam's summary of the family: 5.8S ribosomal RNA (5.8S rRNA) is a component of the large subunit of the eukaryotic ribosome. It is transcribed by RNA polymerase I as part of the 45S precursor that also contains 18S and 28S rRNA. Lineage: Eukaryota; Viridiplantae; Streptophyta; Pinopsida; Cupressales; Taxaceae. The record is from RNAcentral.